GUGCCAGCCGCCGCGGUAAUACGGAGGGUGCAAGCGUUAUCCGGAUUUACUGGGUUUAAAGGGUGCGUAGGCGGGCCCUUAAGUCAGUGGUGAAAGCUCCGAGCUUAACUCGGAAACUGCCAUUGAUACUAUAGGUCUUGAAUUCGGUCGAGGUUGGCGGAAUGUGUCGUGUAGCGGUGAAAUGCUUAGAUAUGACACAGAACACCGAUUGCGAAGGCAGCUAGCUAGACCGACAUUGACGCUGAGGCACGAAAGCGUGGGGAUCAAACAGGAUUAGAAACCCUCGUAGUCC
This 292-nucleotide ribosomal RNA is filed under the name uncultured bacterium. RNAcentral's name for it is "partial 16S ribosomal RNA". It matches the Rfam family "Bacterial small subunit ribosomal RNA", at positions 505 to 796 of the family's 1533-position model. The record is from RNAcentral.